AUUGAACGCUGGCGGCAUGCUUUACACAUGCAAGUCGAACGGUAACAGGCCGCAAGGUGCUGACGAGUGGCGAACGGGUGAGUAAUGCAUCGGAACGUGCCCAGUCGUGGGGGAUAACUACUCGAAAGAGUAGCUAAUACCGCAUACGAUCUAUGGAUGACAGCGGGGGACCGUAAGGCCUCGCGCGAUUGGAGCGGCCGAUGGCAGAUUAGGUAGUUGGUGGGGUAAAGGCUCACCAAGCCAAAGAUCUGUAGCUGGUCUGAGAGGACGACCAGCCACACUGGGACUGAGACACGGCCCAGACUCCUACGGGAGGCAGCAGUGGGGAAUUUUGGACAAUGGGCGCAAGCCUGAUCCAGCAAUGCCGCGUGCAGGAAGAAGGCCUUCGGGUUGUAAACUGCUUUUGUACGGAACGAAACGGCUCUGGUUAAUACCCGGGGCUAAUGACGGUACCGUAAGAAUAAGCACCGGCUAACUACGUG
This 482-nucleotide ribosomal RNA is filed under the name uncultured bacterium. RNAcentral's name for it is "partial 16S ribosomal RNA". It matches the Rfam family "Bacterial small subunit ribosomal RNA", at positions 30 to 507 of the family's 1533-position model. The record is from RNAcentral.